UCCGAGUUGUCCCCGGCAGUCUCCCACGAGUCCCCGGCAUUACCCGCUGGCAACAUGGGACAAGGGUUGCGCUCGUUGCGGGACUUAACCCAACAUCUCACGACACGAGCUGACGACAGCCAUGCACCACCUGUACCGGACCCAAAAAGGACCCCACAUCUCUGCAGGAUUUCCCGGCAUGUCAAACCCAGGUAAGGUGGGGAUGACGUUGGAGGAAUUCCA
This 222-nucleotide unclassified non-coding RNA is filed under the name uncultured Nocardioidaceae bacterium. RNAcentral describes it as "contains 16S-23S intergenic spacer region". Lineage: Bacteria; Bacillati; Actinomycetota; Actinomycetes; Propionibacteriales; Nocardioidaceae. The record is from RNAcentral.